GAACGAAAAUCCGUUGGUUUUAUGGAACCGUGAGGGUUCGAAUCCCUCUAUCCCCAGC
This 58-nucleotide transfer RNA is filed under the name Draconopteris draconoptera. RNAcentral describes it as "partial tRNA-Leu". The record is from RNAcentral. RNAcentral also lists the same sequence under 1 other name. Lineage: Eukaryota; Viridiplantae; Streptophyta; Polypodiopsida; Polypodiales; Pteridryaceae.